AACGAACGCUGGCGGCAUGCCUAACACAUGCAAGUCGAACGAAGGCUUCGGCCUUAGUGGCGCACGGGUGCGUAACACGUGGGAAUCUACCCUUAGGUUCGGAAUAACUCAGGGAAACUUGAGCUAAUACCGGAUGAUGUCGUAAGACCAAAGAUUUAUCGCCUUUGGAUGAGCCCGCGUAGGAUUAGCUAGUUGGUGGGGUAAAGGCCUACCAAGGCGACGAUCCUUAGCUGGUCUGAGAGGAUGAUCAGCCACACUGGGACUGAGACACGGCCCAGACUUCUACGGGAGGCAGCAGUGGGGAAUAUUGGACAAUGGGCGCAAGACUGAUCCAGCAAUGCCGCGUGAGUGAUGAAGGCCUUAGGGUUGUAAAGCUCUUUUACCAGGGAUGAUAAUGACAGUACCUGGAGAAUAAGCUCCGGCUAACUCCGUGCCAGCCGCCGCAGUAA
RNAcentral lists this ribosomal RNA (449 nucleotides) under uncultured bacterium. RNAcentral's name for it is "partial 16S ribosomal RNA". It matches the Rfam family "Bacterial small subunit ribosomal RNA", at positions 29 to 523 of the family's 1533-position model. The record is from RNAcentral.